Molecule: small RNA, 2681 nt
Filed under: Vigna angularis var. angularis
Lineage: Eukaryota; Viridiplantae; Streptophyta; Magnoliopsida; Fabales; Fabaceae
Description: Non-protein coding transcript
Source: RNAcentral
UACCUGGAUGAGUUUCAAGGAAGUUUCUGACUGGAGGAACAUCUGAGGACUGUAAAAGGAUACCAUUACUUAGGAGAUACCUUGAUGCUGACAUUUGUUAAGCCUCCAGACAAUGAAAGGAGGAGAAUUCCAAUCUAUAGCUGUUCAAAAGAUGAAACUGCUCUCAAAACCCCCCACACGCAGUAGUUUGUUUAAUUAUCUAUCUUCAAAGACAACUAAAAUCCAUGUGCACUGCAAAUGGAGUCAUUUUUAGAGUAGAAAGACAAUAGUGUGAUACACGCUCUACUUCUAGAAGCAGCAAUUUCAAAAGAUAAUGGACAUUAUAAGAUUGUUGCCAUUUAUAAAGAGCUCAACAAAACAUAAAAGAGGUGUGUGUAGUGAAACCCAAUGGAGGUGCAAAUAGCGAGCAGUUAUGGGCCACAAUAUAAACACGUGUGGGUGCAGAGAAAUUAAAAUGGGGUGCACAAAUCAAAUUGUUGGGCUAACCCAACUUCAUCUUCGUCAAUAUACCCCAAAAAAACCUUCAAGGUCUCCAUUCUUCAUCUUCCUCGCGUGAACCACCUUUGCCAGCAGCCCCUCCCGUCGCCGCAUGCUCCUCGACCGGCCAGGGCCGUCGCUAGCGACGCUGGUCACAACAGGAAGCUUUGCUGGCGACGACAUGAUCUCCCUCCGUAUUCUUCCUCUUUAAAAACGUGUUUCUACCACCUCCCAAUACCCAGAUCGGAAACCGCCGCGAUUUCCGCCACCAGCGCCACCGCGCAAUCUGGAGUCACCACCAAGACAAUACCGUGGCCGUCGCACGGCCGAGCACUAUCACCGGAGCACCGACGCAGACCCGAAACGGGUUUUUGCGAUUCAGGGGCCGCUGCUCCUCACCUCCUUUCUUCUCAGUCUUGCCAAGUCUUCCCCUGAUUUCCGGUUCUCUUCAUACUCUCGAUGCUGAGAGUUCUUUGUUAUGUUCUAUUGGGAUUUCCCUGUGCAUGUGUGGAGCUGUAGAAGAUGAUGGAUGAUGAAGAUGAAUAGAGAUGAAAAGUGGAGGUGAUGAUGGAUGGGAGAGUGAAGGCGUGGCUAAAGAUUGGUUUUUGAAGCUAAUGAAACAAAGAAGAUGUAGUGCAGAGAAUGUGGAAACUUGAUAUUGAUCCACAUCCACAAUUGCAAAAUAGAACCAAUAAGCUUGAAUGAGAUAGUAAACAGGAAAUUUUACCUUCACCAAUUUAGGAGCUACUUCUUUCUUCUUCUUCUUAGUUGCUCUGAUGCUCCUCACCUCCCUGUCUCGCUUUUCUCAGCUUCUCCUCCUUUAUUUUUCUUUUGCUUUCUCUCACGAUUUUCUGUUUUUUUGGAUGUGUUGGUGAUGGAGUGCAGAUAGCUCGUGUAGAUGAAGAUGAAGAAAAAUGGUGGAGAUGAAUGUAAUGAUGGAAGAACUGAUCUUUUGGUGCUCACAAAUCUGUCUGAUUGUUUUUUUCCAAAAAGGCUGUGUGGUUGCUACAAAAGGCCCAGUGUGAACUGUUCCAUCAUUGUGAAGAGCCAUAAUAUAGAAGACUUUCACGUUCAGCAUGUUACAUAUUAAACCAGAAGACCUGUUCUCAUUUUACCUAACAUCAUGUCACUUAUUUUUAGAUUGACUAGGUUUAAGCAUGUGUUUUCAUAGCUCAACUUCAACAAUGGAAAUUAAAGGAACAAACUUCCAUAUCAACAGCUUCAAAUAGACUCCUUAACUAGCAAUACAUGUGAAACAAACCCCUUUCAAAGAAAAAUUUUGUAACUUCUUCUUUCUUACCCCAUUCUCCCCAAUAACACGAAGCCAAGUUUCUUGAUAAUAAACCAAAAGCAUUCAAGAGGGUACAAAGAUAAGUAAAUAUUUAUGUAUAAGAACUUGGUAGAUGCUUCAAAAGCAAAAGUCACUGUAUGCUACUGGUGCUACAAAAUAUUUUAUUAUGUACAUCAUUACUAUAGCCACUUCUCAGUUUUGUCUUGGGUCCAAAGGCUUCAUUUUUUUGGAUGGCAUAGAAGGUGAAUGCGGUUCCACCAGUAUUGACCAGAGGACGUGCACGUCCUCAUAGGGGCAAGACUUGACAUCUUCAUACAGAAUGUAAAUCCCUCUUCCUGAAAUGUUGGAAAAAAAAUGAUCAUGUGGGAGUGAGAGGGAAAAAAGAAUCAAAUCAUGCAGUGCCCUCCUUACUCCUUAGCAAAGAAAAAGGUAUAGUGUGUUUGUGUAAAAAGCACGUUUCCCAGAACAUGAAUUAAAUUGCAUUGUCUUUACUUGAUUUCAAAUCCCAAUGAAACGGUAAAAAAGUGAAAGAGAACAUUGGUGUAUUAGAUGAUCGGUUAAUGGAAGGUUUGUGUAAAGUACUUGAGCAAUGUAAGAAACAGGACAGAAGCAGUGGUGGAUUAAUUAAAAGUAGAUGCAGAAAAGAAAGAAUAAGCAUGUUGGUAUUGAGAAAAGAUGAUGGUGGAACGUACUCUUCUUUUGAGUUGAAUUCAAGCGGAGCCAGAACUUCUUGAGUGGAGAGAGGAGGGAUUGCAGCCACCCCAUUUGGUGAAGAAAUGGGUGUGGCUCAUGCAGAAGAAGUAAAGUGGAGGAGAUAACAAGAGGGGUAAGAGAGAUGAAGAGGAACCAUCUAGGCUUUUCUUAGACAAGGGUGAAGAUUUUGCAAGGUCACUGUUAUAUAUUUUGGGACGUU